This 497-nucleotide ribosomal RNA is filed under the name uncultured bacterium. RNAcentral describes it as "partial 16S ribosomal RNA". It matches the Rfam family "Bacterial small subunit ribosomal RNA", at positions 28 to 507 of the family's 1533-position model. The record is from RNAcentral.
GAUGAACGCUGGCGGCGUGCCUAAUACAUGCAAGUCGAGCGAACAGACGAGGAGCUUGCUCCUCUGACGUUAGCGGCGGACGGGUGAGUAACACGUGGAUAACCUACCUAUAAGACUGGGAUAACUUCGGGAAACCGGAGCUAAUACCGGAUAAUAUAUUGAACCGCAUGGUUCAAUAGUGAAAGACGGUUUUGCUGUCACUUAUAGAUGGAUCCGCGCCGCAUUAGCUAGUUGGUAAGGUAACGGCUUACCAAGGCAACGAUGCGUAGCCGACCUGAGAGGGGGGUCCGGCACCCUUGAACUUGGACACGGUCCAAGCCCCCUAGGGAGGGAAGCGUUGGGGAUCUUUCCGAAAUGGGCGAAACCCGGCGGAGGCAACGCGGGGGGAGGAAUGAGGUUCUCCGGUCCGUAAAACUUUGUUAUUAGGAAAGAAAAAAUUUUUAGUUAACUAUGACCGUUUUGCGGUUACCUAACCAGAAGGCCACGCUAACCUCGUU